UACUGUUGAGUUAAACAGAGGCUACAGUUAAGGAUUUGCGCCCAGUAAGUCCUCCCUGGCCAGGAUACAAACCCACGACAAAGCGCUCGCGGAACGCCAGGCGAGUGUCUUACCACUGCACCACAAGACUAAAUAUUUCUGAUGCCUUAGUUUCUUGAAGAACAGUCCUUAGAAGAUAGCAAUAACAAAACAAUAGGAAUGCUAAUCAAAACCUGAACAUAUUAGUAUUCAUGUUUGCCUGUUUUUGAACUUUCAUUGUUCUUUAUUUGUACUGCUGCAGAUUGGCAUUCCGAAGACUUCCUUUUCUUCCCAUCAUUUGUAUUGUGCUCAGAAUAUUGGUCAUCUUCAGGAGUGUCUGAAGAAGUAUGACUCCAAGAUUGCUUUGAUUCCUGACAAAUUAUGAAAUAAAACACUUACAAAAAAAAUCAAAUGACCAAACAACAUUACAAAUCAACAUUUUAGAUCAAAAGCGAUCUGGACAUUACCAGUUCAGUCCUACUUUACUCCAAGUAUUUCAGCUCAGCCACUUGGACUAGACAAUAGAGCGACAAUCUCGCUUCUUGCAGGUCGGCAUUCAAUCCCUGACCAUCAGAGUGAUUGGGCACAUUUCAUCCCUCCAUCCUAUCUAAACCCUCAUCCUCAUACCCCUUCCAAGUGCUAUAUAGUCGUAAUGGCUUAGUGCUUUCUGCUGAUAAUUAUCUUACUCUAAGAAUAUUAUUAUUUUUAAGCCUAAUAAGUAGCAUUACCUUACACAAGAGAUCACAAAACCUCUAUAGGAAAUUCUUUAGUCAACAAAACAUGCAUCACUUCAAAAAUUCUUCAAAUCCUUACAGUUGUUAAUGAAAUUGGGGAAAUAUGCUACUCGAGCCCAUCUGAAGGGCAAAGAGUCUAAAAAGAUGACAUCAGUGGAUAUGAAAAAUAGAGACUAAAUUUAUGUUUAGAAAUAAGGUAACUUUUGUUUUUGAAGGAAAAUAGUGAUAGCAUUUGGUCAUUUUAUUUAUUUUACGUAGUUUACAUUCCUAUUGACAUCACAUGUAUUUUGCUUUUAUGUAUCUGAGGGCUACCAUCUCUAUUAGGAACAAGAGGGGCAUAGAAGCCAGCGGUUUGUCAAAGGUCCACCUUAUUAUUAUGCAAACUACAUUUCACAUCUUGGUGGAACUAGGAAAAAUAGAUCCCAAGCCUUCAUGCUGUGUGUAGGGCUUCAUCUAGUUAACUUAUGAGCAAGGAGAGAGAACAUGUAUUGUACAUUAUACUCCUAACUGACAAACUUUUAACCUCACCAAAACUGGGAUGUUGUCAGACGGGUGAUGAGCCAUCCUUUAAUCUGAUCUCUUUCUAAACACAUUGAAUCAUUGAGAAAAUACACUAGUGGCUGUGAGGUGACGGGAACCUGCAACCACGGCAUUGCCAGCCACAUUCUCUACUACUUGACCACCGCUGACGUGUAAAGUCAUUCAACUAGAUUGAAUCAUGCUCACAUUAUUAGGUAAUCCCCUAAAAUUAGAUUGUUUAUAUACAGGUAAUUAUUUCAGUCAGUUGUGUAAUUUUUAACCUUAUGUACAAAAUGUGUACUUUUCUGAAGUUUAUUUUGAUGUCAAAUUAGUUGAAAAAAUUACUGGAUAAUAAUUUGUAGUUGUAUGAGGACGAGGAUGUAAGAUAAUGAUAUUUACAAUGUGGUUAAUUGCUGUAUAUUGCAUAGUGUUUUAGGCUUGUUGCCUUCUUUGGUAACUACUUACGUGUUGUAUACGGUAAAAACAUAGUUAUACAAUUUUUCUGAGAGAUAGAAAUGGGGAGAAAGGUGGAGAGGAUGGGAAAUUGGGAGAAUGAGAUAUGUGAGAGGGGUGUGAAGGGGAGAUCAGAAUAUUGAGGGGGAGAACGGUAUAGAAUGGGGGAUAGGGAAAGAUAUUAGAGAGGGGGGGGGGAGGGAGAGAAGGGAAAGACCCGGGAACAGCCAGGUACCCCAUCUAGUAGACAAAACAAGAUUAUAGUAAACUUCCUAUUACUGUAUGAGGAUUAUUUGCUAACUCUUUAAAUCACUUGUGUCGAACUACCGUCCCAUUAGGUGAAGGUCUAUUUAGAAAAGUUGCUUGAAUCGAAAAUCACAGCCUUUCAUUACAUUUUGAAAACAGAUUAAUAAAGGAUUCACAACAUGGUUUUAAUAUGUGCCGCUUAUAUUUAACAAAAUACUUAUUUUUUUCAAGAAGACUUUUAAGCAGUUGACAACAGAAAGGAUUAUUACUAUAUUUUGACUUCAGCAAAGACUUCGAUAUACUGUGCCUCACGAAAGACGCCUUAGAAAAUAAAGAGUUGUGUUAC
Non-coding RNA from Procambarus clarkii (red swamp crayfish), 2316 nucleotides. Lineage: Eukaryota; Metazoa; Arthropoda; Malacostraca; Decapoda; Cambaridae. The record is from RefSeq and is a predicted model, not a curated record.